GUGGAAAUAACAUGUAGAAUUGCAGUU
Molecule: non-coding RNA, 27 nt
Filed under: Cricetulus griseus (Chinese hamster)
Lineage: Eukaryota; Metazoa; Chordata; Mammalia; Rodentia; Cricetidae
Source: RNAcentral